RNAcentral lists this microRNA precursor (59 nucleotides) under Colobus angolensis palliatus. Its description in RNAcentral is "miRNA (ENSCANG00000016169.1)". The record is from RNAcentral. Lineage: Eukaryota; Metazoa; Chordata; Mammalia; Primates; Cercopithecidae.
GUGCAAAAGUAAUUGUGGUUUUUGUCAUUAGAAGUAAUGGCAAAAACCACAAUUACUUU